Molecule: long non-coding RNA, 338 nt
Filed under: Physcomitrium patens
Lineage: Eukaryota; Viridiplantae; Streptophyta; Bryopsida; Funariales; Funariaceae
Description: long non-coding RNA (PPAT_LNC003494)
Source: RNAcentral
AAUCUUAAAAGAAUCUUUAAGAAGUCCUAAAAAUAUUAAAAUAAUAAAAAAUAUAUUUUAAAUAAAUUUCAAAUAAAUUUUAAUUUAAUCAUAAUUAAAACCUUAAUGGAAUUCAAUCAAACUCUAUACAAAUCCUAAAUCCUAAACCAAAUCCUAAAUUAAAUCCUAAAAGAAUCUUAAAUCCUAAAUCCUAAAUCAAAUCCUACAUCAAAUCCUAAAUAAAUCCUAAAUCCUAAAUCCUAAAUUAAGUCCUAGAUAAAUCUUAAAUCCUAAAUCAAACCUUAGAUAAAUUCCAAAUCCUAAAUCAAAUCCUAAACCAAAUCCUAAUCCUAUUCAAA